This 136-nucleotide microRNA precursor is filed under the name Glycine max (soybean). Its description in RNAcentral is "miR4352a stem-loop (gma-MIR4352a)". Lineage: Eukaryota; Viridiplantae; Streptophyta; Magnoliopsida; Fabales; Fabaceae. The record is from miRBase by way of RNAcentral.
AGAACCGUCGUAGUAUAUCUUAAAAACUAAGGCGGUCGUAUGAAUAGCCAUCAUAGAAUUUCAACAGCAAAAAUGCUAUUCUAAGACGGUUAUUCGAAUAACCGUCUUAAUUUCUAGGACAUACUACGACGGUUCU